GAUGAACGCUAGCGGCAGGCCUAACACAUGCAAGUCGAGGGGUAACUAGAGUGAUAGCAAUAUUACUUUGGCUAGACCGGCGCACGGGUGCGUAACACGUAUGCAACCUACCUUAUACUGGGGAAUAACUUCGAGAAAUCGGCGCUAAUACCCCAUAACAUUGCGAAGAGGCAUCUCUUUGCAAUUAAAGCUCCGGCGGUAUAAGAUGGGCAUGCGUCCAAUUAGCUAGUUGGUGAGGUAACGGCUCACCAAGGCUACGAUUGGUAGGGGUUCUGAGCGGAUGAGCCCCCACACUGGUACUCAGACACGGACCAGACUCCUACGGGAGGCAGCAGUGAGGAAUAUUGCGCAAUGGACGAAAGUCUGACGCAGCCAUGCCGCGUGCAGGAUGACGGCCCUAUGGGUUGUAAACUGCUUUUGUACGGGAAUAAACCCUUCUACGUGUAGGAGGCUGAAGGUACCGUAAGAAUAAGCACCGGCUAACUCCGUGCCAGCCGCCGCCGUAA
This 506-nucleotide ribosomal RNA is filed under the name uncultured bacterium. RNAcentral describes it as "partial 16S ribosomal RNA". It matches the Rfam family "Bacterial small subunit ribosomal RNA", at positions 28 to 523 of the family's 1533-position model. The record is from RNAcentral.